GUGUUCCCUUUCACAGCACAUAUACGGAAUUGGAAUGAUACGGAGAUUAGCGUGGGUCCUGCACAAGGAUGACACAUAGUUCAAGAAGCAUUCCAUAUCAUA
This is a small nuclear RNA of Manis pentadactyla (Chinese pangolin), 102 nucleotides long. The record is from RefSeq and is a predicted model, not a curated record. NCBI's taxonomy places the organism in Eukaryota, Metazoa, Chordata, Mammalia, Pholidota, Manidae.